RNAcentral lists this long non-coding RNA (1998 nucleotides) under Citrus sinensis (sweet orange). RNAcentral describes it as "long non-coding RNA (CSIN_LNC001051)". The record is from RNAcentral. Lineage: Eukaryota; Viridiplantae; Streptophyta; Magnoliopsida; Sapindales; Rutaceae.
UGCCUGCAUUUCACUCGGAGACCAACAGAAAGUCAGAAAAAUCAAUGUAGUACGUUAUUUGGAUACAAUGAUAUGCCACCCAUAAUUUCUGCAUCUGCUGCUUGAUGCCAAUAGAUCAGCCGAUGUACUGUCUUAAUCAAUAACAAGUCAACACAAAGUCCAUAACUCCGUCUGUUGCUAAAAACCAACCCAACAAGUUUCUCUCAGUCAUACAUAAAAGCAUUUCCAAAGUCUUGAAAGAUAUUUUAUAGAAUAAGUACCUUGGAAACUUUAAAUCACAUGAAGAAGCAGAAAAAGAUGCUUUCUCCUUAACAUUGUGAAGCACUUUGAUGUGCAGAUCUUGUAGCUUAAUGCUCAACAUAUCACAUUAGUCUAAGUCAUGAGUUGAAAACAAGAUUCUUAUAAAAUCUUAUUGCAUGCAAAUUAUGCAGUUAAAAUUUACCAAUUUUAUAGAUAACUAGUUAAUAGAAAUUAUUCAUUGACAAACAAUAGAUAUCUUAUGCAAUGAUAUUCCCUAAAGAAUCAGACUGCCAAAUCCCUUUAGAUAACCUUGGAAAGAGACCAGGAAAACGAUACAGAUCUCACCCUAACCAACCAUUUGAGUGAAGCACUAAGGGUGGCAAGUUUCAAACUGAAUUACAGAGGUUAGCAGCCAGUAGCUCAACCAAAACACAAGUACGUGUGACCGUGUAUUAUCUUGCAAGUGUGUGCAUGGGCAUGCAUGCAAACAGGUAAGUGAAAGACAGGUAAGUAGAGAGAGAGAGAGACAGGUAAGUAGAGAGAGAGAGAGACAGGUAAGUAGAGAGAGAGAAAGACAGGUAAGUAGAGAGAGAGGUCUAAAUCUAAAGCACAAACCUCAUAUGAACUUCAAUAGAUCCAUUAGACUUUUUUGUAAUUGGGGUUGUCCAUAUGGAUAAGAUUCGACACGGAAUGAGAAUACGCACCAAAACGGACAUUCAAGGCUCAAAACGAAUUAGAAAAUACAUUAGAGGAAAGUAAAUGAUUCUCUUUGGGCAUGUUUUGACUUUCUUUUCCAAAAAAAGGGGUACUAUUAAUCACCAUUUAAGGAAAAAAUUGCUUUAAUAAAAAUUUUAUUUUCAUUAUUCAUUGAUAAAGGGUAGAAUCACUUAGAGCAAUUUGGCACGGCCCAUGGAAAAAAGGAAAAGGUAUUUAAGGAUCCCCCUACUCAAUUUUAUUGGAAACACACUCAAGACUGAAGGAUAUGAUACAAGAGACAUUUAAAUGAAGAGUCAAACUUGUGUUCUAGUAAGUCAAAUUCUCACUGAGCAUGCACAUGAUAAAAGAUUAACAAAGAACUACAAUUUUAUUAAACAAUCAGUUGCAUUAAAAUGAGAACAUAGUACGCACAUUUAUUUUAGGGGAUAUUAUCAAUUGACUACUUUAAGAAUUACAAUAUAUCAAACAACUACAAGAAGUAUUUUAGUCUAUCAUUUUACUACUAUAUCUUUACAAAACUUAUGAUUUUACUACAUUUCCGUUAGUACAAAAAAAAUAACAAUUUCACCAUUGGAAAAAAAAUUACACAAAUAGAGGUAUCAAAUAUUAUAUUCAUAGGCUAAUAGGAAUCAUUUGUAGCUACUUUCUAUUUUGAAUUUAUAAUAUUGUAAUACUUUGUGUGUUAUUUUUUAACCAAAAAAUAAUUAAUAUAAAGUGCAAAAUUGAUAUUUUAUCAGUCAGCUAACAGGUCAACUAUCGGUGCUAAUGAAAUGUAGUAAAAUAAUGGGUUUUGUCUGGAUAUAAUAGUAAAAUGAUGGAAUCAUAUUUUUUAUGGACUUUAGAUUUAUUGCAAUUCUUGAAGGAUUCAAACGAUAAUAACCCUUAUUUUAACAAGUUGUAUUGACAGAAAAGAUUCCAACUCCAGAUACAAACUGUCCAAAGUUUGAGUGUCCUGGGUAUGCAGAAACUUACCAAGCAAAUGCACUUGAGAAGAGUUUAAAAUUAUAUUCAAAGUUCAGGCGACAGAAGUCACGAAUAUAC